Molecule: ribosomal RNA, 253 nt
Filed under: uncultured bacterium
Lineage: Bacteria
Description: partial 16S ribosomal RNA
Rfam family: Bacterial small subunit ribosomal RNA
Source: RNAcentral
UACAGAGGGUGCAAGCGUUGUUCGGAAUUACUGGGCGUAAAGCGCACGUAGGCGGCGACUCAAGUCAGAGGUGAAAGCCCGGGGCUCAACCCCGGAACUGCCUUUGAAACUAGGUUGCUAGAAUCCUGGAGAGGUUAGUGGAAUUCCGAGUGUAGAGGUGAAAUUCGUAGAUAUUCGGAAGAACACCAGUGGCGAAGGCGACUAACUGGACAGGUAUUGACGCUGAGGUGCGAAAGCGUGGGGAGCAAACAGG